UAAGCAAUUAUACAGCGAAACUGCGAAUGGCUCAUUAAAUCAGUUAUCGUUUAUUUGAUAGUUCCCUGCUACUUGGAUACCCGUGGUAAUUCUAUGGCUAAUACAUGCAAAAAGCCGCGACUUCGGAAGCGGCGUAUUUAUUAGACUAAAGACCGACGCCCUUCGGGGCUUCCCGGUGAUUCAUGGUAACCUGUCGGAUCGCACGGCCCCGCGCCGGCGACGGAUCAUUCAAAUUUCUGCCCUAUCAACUUUCGACUUUAGUCUAGUGGACUAAAGUGGUUGCAACGGGUAACGGAGGGUUAGGGCUCGACCCCGGAGAAGGCGCCUGAGAAACGGCGACUACAUCCAAGGAAGGCAGCAGGCGCGCAAAUUACCCAAUCCCGACACGGGGAGGUAGUGACGAUAAAUACCGAUGCAGGGCUCUUUCGGGUCUUGCAAUUGGAAUGAGUACAAUCUAAAUCCCUUAACGAGGAGCAACUAGAGGGUCAGUCUGGUGCCAGCAGCCGCGGUAAUUCCAGCUCUAGUAGCGUAUAUUAAAGUUGGUGUGGUUAAAAAGCUCGUAGUUGAACCUCGGCCCCGCCCUGCCGGUCCGCCUCACCGCGUGCACUGGACCGGGCGGGGCCUUCCCCGGGGGAACGGCAUGCCCUUCGCUGGGCGUGCCCGGGAACCCGGACCUUUACUGUGAAAAAAUUAGAGUGUUCAAGGCAGGCUCGCGCCCGGAUACAUUAGCAUGGAAUAAUAGAAUAGGACGCGCGGUUCUAUUUUGUUGGUUAUGGGACCGCCGUAAUGAUUAAUAGGGUCAGUCGGGGGCAUCAGUAUUCGGCUGUCAGAGGUGAAAUUCUUGGAUUUGCCGAAGACUCACUACUGCGAAAGCAUUUGCCAAGGAUGUUUUCAUUAAUCAGGAACGAAAGUUAGGGGAUCGAAAACGAUCAAAUACCGUCGUAGUCUUAACCAUAAACUAUGCCGACUAGGGAUCGGGCGGUGUUGCUUUCUGACCCGCCCGGCACCUUUCGAGAAAUCAAAGUCUGUGGGUUCC
RNAcentral lists this ribosomal RNA (1036 nucleotides) under Sammeyersia grandispora. RNAcentral's name for it is "SSU rRNA". It matches the Rfam family "Eukaryotic small subunit ribosomal RNA", at positions 66 to 1115 of the family's 1831-position model. Lineage: Eukaryota; Fungi; Ascomycota; Sordariomycetes; Lulworthiales; Lulworthiaceae. The record is from RNAcentral.